This 20-nucleotide microRNA is filed under the name Ciona intestinalis (vase tunicate). RNAcentral describes it as "cin-miR-4165-3p". Lineage: Eukaryota; Metazoa; Chordata; Ascidiacea; Phlebobranchia; Cionidae. The record is from miRBase by way of RNAcentral.
UGAGUGGGCAAAAUGGGACA